This 547-nucleotide small RNA is filed under the name Pan troglodytes (chimpanzee). RNAcentral describes it as "processed transcript". The record is from RNAcentral. Lineage: Eukaryota; Metazoa; Chordata; Mammalia; Primates; Hominidae.
AUUGGCCAAAAGUUUGUAGAGGGCGGGCCUCGCUCACUCUCAUUGGUCAGUUGCUCGCUGUGGUCCCAUCCCUCAUGCUUCCAUUGCUUGAUUCAUCGAAAAGGGCGGGGACUCUGGGCAGCGGUUGUGGAGUGCCGCGGGUCCACAGUGCUGCACUGAGCAGAGAGGAAGGGGCGUCCCGGGAUAUUUGGAGGAUAAAGGUGUGGGCAAGGGUGAUGACCACACCUGCCGGCUCCGGCAGGGGCUUCGGCUCCGUGUCCUGGUGGGGCCUGUCCCCGGCGCUGGACCUGCAGGCUGAAAGGGAUGCUACGGUGGACGCUCUGCCAACCACCAUGGUGCCCCAGCCGGCUGUCAUCUUGCCAGGUCCUCCUGUGGACCCAGACUCCCAGGCCGAUACAGUGCACAGCACCCCCGAGCUAGAUGUGCUGCUUCUGGGCUCUGUGGAUGGACGGCACCUGCUGCGGACCCUGUCCCGAGCGAAGCUCUGGCCUCGCAGGAGGUUCAACGUGAGCUGGGAUGAAGAUGAGAGCCCAGAUUCCCGAGUCCU